GACGAACGCUGGCGGCGUGCUUAACACAUGCAAGUCGAACGGUAAGGCCCUUCGGGGUACACGAGUGGCGAACGGGUGAGUAACACGUGGGUGAUCUGCCCUGCACUUCGGGAUAAGCCUGGGAAACUGGGUCUAAUACCGGAUAGGACCCUGGGAUGCAUGUCCUGGGGUGGAAAGCUUUUGCGGUGUGGGAUGGGCCCGCGGCCUAUCAGCUUGUUGGUGGGGUGAUGGCCUACCAAGGCGACGACGGGUAGCCGGCCUGGGAGGGUGACCGGCCACACUGGGACUGAGAUACGGCCCAGACUCCUACGGGAGGCAGCAGUGGGGAAUAUUGCACAAUGGGCGCAAGCCUGAUGCAGCGACGCCGCGUGAGGGAUGACGGCCGUCGGGUUGUAAACCUCUUUCAGCACCGACGAAGCGCAAGUGACGGUAGGUGCAGAAGAAGGACCGGCCAACUACGUGCCAGCCGCCGCGGUAA
RNAcentral lists this ribosomal RNA (478 nucleotides) under uncultured bacterium. RNAcentral describes it as "partial 16S ribosomal RNA". It matches the Rfam family "Bacterial small subunit ribosomal RNA", at positions 28 to 523 of the family's 1533-position model. The record is from RNAcentral.